RNAcentral lists this ribosomal RNA (253 nucleotides) under uncultured bacterium. RNAcentral describes it as "partial 16S ribosomal RNA". It matches the Rfam family "Bacterial small subunit ribosomal RNA", at positions 524 to 776 of the family's 1533-position model. The record is from RNAcentral.
UACAGAGGGUGCAAGCGUUAAUCGGAGUUACUGGGCGUAAAGAGCGCGCAGGCGGUCGUUCAAGUCGAGUGUGAAAGCCCCCGGCUCAACUGGGGAGGGUCACUCGAUACUGAUCGACUUGAAGGCAGGAGAGGGAAGCGGAAUUCCCGGUGUAGUGGUGAAAUGCGUAGAUAUCGGGAGGAACACCAGUGGCGAAGGCGGCUUCCUGGCCUGUUCUUGACGCUGAGGCGCGAAAGCUAGGGGAGCAAACGGG